UUUUAAAUACAAGAUAAGCAUUCGAUCUACGUCAGAGCAUCAGAGCAUCCACAAAUCUUUCUAUAGCAUUGUUAGCAGGGUGGCCAGAACGAUUUUUGACGCUCUCGACGGCGGCGUUGUGAACAGACAGUUAAAGAGAGCAAGGCUGAGUCACACAUGGCCGUGUUAUACUGCCUGUCCAACUCGGGUGCAUUGUCAUUUAAAUCCAACGUUUCUACGGCAACCACCACCCUGGACACCUGGCUGGGGUUAUCUGAGGAUGUUGAGAGAGCAGAAAAACUCGGUCACCGUAGUGAUGAGCCCGGUGUCUGGAGUGAUGCGGAACAGAGCUUCUGGGUCAGACUGGGGAUCGAUGGAGAACCUGAGGGAGACAGAAGAUAAAAAAGACAAAUGGAGAGGGAGAAACGUGUGGCAUACACAAGAGGUGCAGUGUGGGAGAAUUCCAAAUCGGGGUGACCUUGCUUGGAUAACUCUCCACUCUUGGCCCUGCUGCAUAACUAAAAGCAGGCGUGACCGUGUCUUCUCACCCAGACUGACCUUCCAUCUGUCUGGCCCCCAGCUA
Molecule: long non-coding RNA, 562 nt
Organism: Cyprinus carpio (common carp)
Lineage: Eukaryota; Metazoa; Chordata; Actinopteri; Cypriniformes; Cyprinidae
Exons: 4
Source: RefSeq, a predicted model, not a curated record